AUUGAACGCUGGCGGCAUGCUUUACACAUGCAAGUCGAACUGUAACAGGCCGCAAGGUGCUGACGAGUGGCGAACGGGUGAGUAAUGCAUCGGAACGUGCCCAGUCGUGGGGGAUAACUACUCGAAAGAGUAGCUAAUACCGCAUACGAUCUAUGGAUGAAAGCGGGGGACCGUAAGGCCUCGCGCGAUUGGAGCGGCCGAUGUCAGAUUAGGUAGUUGGUGGGGUAAAGGCUCACCAAGCCAACGAUCUGUAGCUGGUCUGAGAGGACGACCAGCCACACUGGGACUGAGACACGGCCCAGACUCCUACGGGAGGCAGCAGUGGGGAAUUUUGGACAAUGGGCGCAAGCCUGAUCCAGCAAUGCCGCGUGCAGGAAGAAGGCCUUCGGGUUGUAAACUGCUUUUGUACGGAACGAAACGGCUCUGGUUAAUACCCGGGGCUAAUGACGGUACCGUAAGAAUAAGCACCGGCUAACUACGUG
This 482-nucleotide ribosomal RNA is filed under the name uncultured bacterium. RNAcentral describes it as "partial 16S ribosomal RNA". It matches the Rfam family "Bacterial small subunit ribosomal RNA", at positions 30 to 507 of the family's 1533-position model. The record is from RNAcentral.